Molecule: ribosomal RNA, 460 nt
Filed under: uncultured bacterium
Lineage: Bacteria
Description: partial 16S ribosomal RNA
Rfam family: Bacterial small subunit ribosomal RNA
Source: RNAcentral
CCUACGGGAGGCAGCAGUGAGGAAUAUUGGUCAAUGGGCUUACGCCUGAACCAGCCAAGUCGCGUGAGGGAAGACUGCCCUAUGGGUUGUAAACCUCUUUUGUCAGGGAGCAACGCCGGCUACGUGUAGCCGGACUGAGAGUACCUGAAGAAAAAGCAUCGCCUAACCCCUUGCCAGCAGCCGCGGUAAUACGGAGGAUGCGAGCGUUAUCAGGAUUUUUUGGGUUUAAAGGGUGCGUAGGCGGAAUGCCAAGUCAGCGGUAAAAUCGCGGGGCUCAACCUCGCUACGCCGUUGAAACUGGCGUUCUUGAGUGGGCGAGAAGUAUGCGGAAUGCGUGGUGUAGCGGUGAAAUGCAUAGAUAUCACGCAGAACUCCGAUUGCGAAGGCAGCAUACCGGCGCCCAACUGACGCUGAAGCACGAAAGUGCGGGGAUCGAACAGGAUUAGAUACCCGGGUAGUC